GUGCUAUGCUGGGUGGUGCCAAUACGGGAGACACUAUGUGGAGAGGUUCCUGACCUGGAGGCAUGUUUUAGGGCCUGCUGUGACAACUCAGCUUCUUCCAAUUUACGAAGAAGACAGGUCCAGUUGAUGUCUGAGGACAGGCGGAUGUGGGCACCCUUCACCUUCUUGAAGCCCAGAAAGAUGUCCAUGAGAACCUCAGUGAUAGGAAAAGAGAUGAAGCCAAGUUGCUUAUUGAGGCUUUCCUCAAACUUCUAGUGAGUUCCUCAAACCAGGGGUUAGAGAUGUAGGACAAGCUGGAAACAGAUGAGAUGGAGGGCAGAGGCUUCUUCUUCGAAAACUUGGUGUUGGGGCUCUGUGCAACAGCCAAGGAGAGAAAAGGAGACGUUUAACCCUUGUCAUCCCCCUGCUGCCCUGUGACAUCAUAUUGCUACACCCACCUUGGCCGUUGUGCCAAUCUUCCCCCGUUACAGUCAGAGAAGCCAAGCUCAUCACACCAGGAUACAGGCCUGCCACAUCUGCCUACUGUAACAUUCAGUUCAUAUGCUGCACCUGCCAGGUCUAGAGCAAGCCCAGCAGCCUGAGCAGGCUGUGUGCAUGCAAGCUUGCACACAGCUUGUUCAGAAGGAAUUACAUCGGAACCCUGAUGAUGGUAGGUUGAGAUGUCCAGAGACCUUCAAGGUCAGGCCAUCUAUGUCUUCAUACACACUUCCUGACCAAGGUCCCCUUCAUGGAGCAGAAGGUCUAGAGAGUCCUAAAGCUAGAUUAG
This 766-nucleotide long non-coding RNA is filed under the name Mus caroli (Ryukyu mouse). RNAcentral describes it as "lncRNA (MGP_CAROLIEiJ_G0002956.1)". Lineage: Eukaryota; Metazoa; Chordata; Mammalia; Rodentia; Muridae. The record is from RNAcentral.